AGAAUCAACGCUGGCGGCGUGCCUAACACAUGCAAGUCGAACGAGAAAGUGGUAGCAAUACCAUGAGUAAAGUGGCGCACGGGUGAGUAACACGUGACUAACCUACCCUGGAGUGGGGAAUAACUGAGGGAAACCUUAGCUAAUACCGCAUAACACCUACGGGUCAAAGGAGCAAUUCGCUUCAGGAGGGGGUCGCGGCCGAUUAGUUAGUUGGCGGGGUAAUGGCCCACCAAGACGAUGAUCGGUA
This 247-nucleotide ribosomal RNA is filed under the name uncultured bacterium. RNAcentral describes it as "partial small subunit ribosomal RNA". It matches the Rfam family "Bacterial small subunit ribosomal RNA", at positions 26 to 285 of the family's 1533-position model. The record is from RNAcentral.